RNAcentral lists this ribosomal RNA (327 nucleotides) under uncultured eukaryote. RNAcentral describes it as "partial 18S ribosomal RNA". It matches the Rfam family "Eukaryotic small subunit ribosomal RNA", at positions 1470 to 1796 of the family's 1831-position model. The record is from RNAcentral.
CCCUUAGAUGUUCUGGGCUGCACGCGCGCUACACUGAUGCGCUCAACGAGUUUUAACCUUGCCUGGAAAGGUUGGGUAAUCUUUUUAAAACGCAUCGUGAUGGGGAUAGAUUAUUGCAAUUAUUAAUCUUCAACGAGGAAUUCCUAGUAAGCGCGAGUCAUCAGCUCGUGCUGAUUACGUCCCUGCGCUUUGUACACACCGCCCGUCGCUCCUACCGAUUGAGUGGUCCGGUGAGGCUUUGGGAUCUGAGCGGAAAGAGCGUUUCGCUGUUUCUGCUCGGAAAACUCAGUCGAACCUUAUCAUUUAGAGGAAGGAGAAGUCGUAACA